This 73-nucleotide transfer RNA is filed under the name Agrostis breviculmis. Its description in RNAcentral is "partial tRNA-Leu". It matches the Rfam family "tRNA", at positions 13 to 71 of the family's 71-position model. Rfam says of the family: Transfer RNA (tRNA) molecules are approximately 80 nucleotides in length. Their secondary structure includes four short double-helical elements and three loops (D, anti-codon, and T loops). Further hydrogen bonds mediate the characteristic L-shaped molecular structure. tRNAs have two regions of fundamental functional importance: the anti-codon, which is responsible for specific mRNA codon recognition, and the 3' end, to which the tRNAs corresponding amino acid is attached (by aminoacyl-tRNA synthetases). tRNAs cope with the degeneracy of the genetic code in two manners: having more than one tRNA (with a specific anti-codon) for a particular amino acid; and 'wobble' base-pairing, i.e. permitting non-standard base-pairing at the 3rd anti-codon position. Lineage: Eukaryota; Viridiplantae; Streptophyta; Magnoliopsida; Poales; Poaceae. The record is from RNAcentral.
AAAUCGGUAGACGCUACGGACUUAAAAUCCGUCGACUUUAGAAGUCGGGAGGGUUCAAGUCCCUCUAUCCCCA